UGGGGAAUUUUCCGCAAUGGGCGAAAGCCUGACGGAGCAAUACCGCGUGAGGGAAGAAUGCCUAUGGGUUGUAAACCUCUUUUUUCAGGGAGGAAUAAAUGACGUGUACCUGAAGAAUAAGCAUCGGCUAACUCC
This 135-nucleotide ribosomal RNA is filed under the name uncultured phototrophic eukaryote. Its description in RNAcentral is "partial 16S ribosomal RNA". It matches the Rfam family "Bacterial small subunit ribosomal RNA", at positions 355 to 504 of the family's 1533-position model. The record is from RNAcentral.